GGCUCGGAACCUAUAGCUCAACCAGCUAAGGCGCCAGCCAC
RNAcentral lists this non-coding RNA (41 nucleotides) under Otolemur garnettii (small-eared galago). The record is from RNAcentral. Lineage: Eukaryota; Metazoa; Chordata; Mammalia; Primates; Galagidae.